CCAAUAUCAGCACCAUGGCCUGGACUCCUCUCUUUCUGUUCCUCCUCACUUGCUGCCCAGGGUCCAAUUCUCAGACUGUGGUGACUCAGGAGCCCUCACUGACUGUGUCCCCAGGAGGGACAGUCACUCUCACCUGUGCUUCCAGCACUGGAGCAGUCACCAGUGGUUACUAUCCAAACUGGUUCCAGCAGAAACCUGGACAAGCACCCAGGGCACUGAUUUAUAGUACAAGCAACAAACACUCCUGGACCCCUGCCCGGUUCUCAGGCUCCCUCCUUGGGGGCAAAGCUGCCCUGACACUGUCAGGUGUGCAGCCUGAGGACGAGGCUGAGUAUUACUGCCUGCUCUACUAUGGUGAUAGAGCAAUGACUCUGACCCCCUGCCCCUCAUCCACCCCGCAGGUCAGCCCAAGGCUGCCCCCUCGGUCACUCUGUUCCCACCCUCCUCUGAGGAGCUUCAAGCCAACAAGGCCACACUGGUGUGUCUCAUAAGUGACUUCUACCCGGGAGCCGUGACAGUGGCCUGGAAGGCAGAUAGCAGCCCCGUCAAGGCGGGAGUGGAGACCACCACACCCUCCAAACAAAGCAACAACAAGUACGCGGCCAGCAGCUACCUGAGCCUGACGCCUGAGCAGUGGAAGUCCCACAAAAGCUACAGCUGCCAGGUCACGCAUGAAGGGAGCACCGUGGAGAAGACAGUGGCCCCUACAGAAUGUUCAUAGGUUCUCAUCCCUCACCCCCCACCACGGGAGACUAGAGCUGCAGGAUCCCAGGGGAGGGGUCUCUCCUCCCACCCCAAGGCAUCAAGCCCUUCUCCCUGCACUCAAUAAACCCUCAAUAAAUAUUCUCAUUGUCA
RNAcentral lists this long non-coding RNA (855 nucleotides) under Homo sapiens (human). RNAcentral's name for it is "long non-coding RNA NONHSAT192079.1". The record is from RNAcentral. Lineage: Eukaryota; Metazoa; Chordata; Mammalia; Primates; Hominidae.